UUAAGCGACUAAGCGUACACGGUGGAUGCCCUGGCAGUCAGAGGCGAUGAAGGACGUGCUAAUCUGCGAUAAGCGUCGGUAAGGUGAUAUGAACCGUUAUAACCGGCGAUUUCCGAAUGGGGAAACCCAGUGUGAUUCGUCACACUAUCAUUAACUGAAUCCAUAGGUUAAUGAGGCGAACCGGGGGAACUGAAACAUCUAAGUACCCCGAGGAAAAGAAAUCAACCGAGAUUCCCCCAGUAGCGGCGAGCGAACGGGGAGGAGCCCAGAGCCUGAAUCAGUGUGUGUGUUAGUGGAAGCGUCUGGAAAGGCGCGCGAUACAGGGUGACAGCCCCGUACACAAAAAUGCACAUGCUGUGAGCUCGAUGAGUAGGGCGGGACACGUGGUAUCCUGUCUGAAUAUGGGGGGACCAUCCUCCAAGGCUAAAUACUCCUGACUGACCGAUAGUGAACCAGUACCGUGAGGGAAAGGCGAAAAGAACCCCGGCGAGGGGAGUGAAAAAGAACCUGAAACCGUGUACGUACAAGCAGUGGGAGCCUCUUAAUGGGGUGACUGCGUACCUUUUGUAUAAUGGGUCAGCGACUUAUAUUCUGUAGCAAGGUUAACCGAAUAGGGGAGCCGAAGGGAAACCGAGUCUUAACUGGGCGUUAAGUUGCAGGGUAUAGACCCGAAACCCGGUGAUCUAGCCAUGGGCAGGUUGAAGGUUGGGUAACACUAACUGGAGGACCGAACCGACUAAUGUUGAAAAAUUAGCGGAUGACUUGUGGCUGGGGGUGAAAGGCCAAUCAAACCGGGAGAUAGCUGGUUCUCCCCGAAAGCUAUUUAGGUAGCGCCUCGUGAAUUCAUCUCCGGGGGUAGAGCACUGUUUCGGCAAGGGGGUCAUCCCGACUUACCAACCCGAUGCAAACUGCGAAUACCGGAGAAUGUUAUCACGGGAGACACACGGCGGGUGCUAACGUCCGUCGUGAAGAGGGAAACAACCCAGACCGCCAGCUAAGGUCCCAAAGUCAUGGUUAAGUGGGAAACGAUGUGGGAAGGCCCAGACAGCCAGGAUGUUGGCUUAGAAGCAGCCAUCAUUUAAAGAAAGCGUAAUAGCUCACUGGUCGAGUCGGCCUGCGCGGAAGAUGUAACGGGGCUAAACCAUGCACCGAAGCUGCGGCAGCGACACUAUGUGUUGUUGGGUAGGGGAGCGUUCUGUAAGCCUGCGAAGGUGUACUGUGAGGUAUGCUGGAGGUAUCAGAAGUGCGAAUGCUGACAUAAGUAACGAUAAAGCGGGUGAAAAGCCCGCUCGCCGGAAGACCAAGGGUUCCUGUCCAACGUUAAUCGGGGCAGGGUGAGUCGACCCCUAAGGCGAGGCCGAAAGGCGUAGUCGAUGGGAAACAGGUUAAUAUUCCUGUACUUGGUGUUACUGCGAAGGGGGGACGGAGAAGGCUAUGUUGGCCGGGCGACGGUUGUCCCGGUUUAAGCGUGUAGGCUGGUUUUCCAGGCAAAUCCGGAAAAUCAAGGCUGAGGCGUGAUGACGAGGCACUACGGUGCUGAAGCAACAAAUGCCCUGCUUCCAGGAAAAGCCUCUAAGCAUCAGGUAACAUCAAAUCGUACCCCAAACCGACACAGGUGGUCAGGUAGAGAAUACCAAGGCGCUUGAGAGAACUCGGGUGAAGGAACUAGGCAAAAUGGUGCCGUAACUUCGGGAGAAGGCACGCUGAUAUGUAGGUGAAGUCCCUCGCGGAUGGAGCUGAAAUCAGUCGAAGAUACCAGCUGGCUGCAACUGUUUAUUAAAAACACAGCACUGUGCAAACACGAAAGUGGACGUAUACGGUGUGACGCCUGCCCGGUGCCGGAAGGUUAAUUGAUGGGGUUAGCGCAAGCGAAGCUCUUGAUCGAAGCCCCGGUAAACGGCGGCCGUAACUAUAACGGUCCUAAGGUAGCGAAAUUCCUUGUCGGGUAAGUUCCGACCUGCACGAAUGGCGUAAUGAUGGCCAGGCUGUCUCCACCCGAGACUCAGUGAAAUUGAACUCGCUGUGAAGAUGCAGUGUACCCGCGGCAAGACGGAAAGACCCCGUGAACCUUUACUAUAGCUUGACACUGAACAUUGAGCCUUGAUGUGUAGGAUAGGUGGGAGGCUUUGAAGUGUGGACGCCAGUCUGCAUGGAGCCGACCUUGAAAUACCACCCUUUAAUGUUUGAUGUUCUAACGUUGGCCCCUAAUCGGGGUUGCGGACAGUGUCUGGUGGGUAGUUUGACUGGGGCGGUCUCCUCCUAAAGAGUAACGGAGGAGCACGAA
Molecule: ribosomal RNA, 2284 nt
Filed under: Escherichia coli
Lineage: Bacteria; Pseudomonadati; Pseudomonadota; Gammaproteobacteria; Enterobacterales; Enterobacteriaceae
Description: bacterial LSU rRNA
Rfam family: Bacterial large subunit ribosomal RNA
Source: RNAcentral